GAUUAACGCUGGCGGCGUGCCUAACACAUGCAAGUCGAGCGGCAGCGAGUUUUACACUGAAUUCUGGAAGCUUCUAGUUGAAAGAGAAGAUUUAUUCAAGAAUUUUGUGUAAAAUGUCGGCGAGCGGCGGACGGCUGAGUAACGCGUGGGAACGUACCCCAAAGUGAGGGAUAACGCAUCGAAAGGUGUGCUAAUACCGCAUAUGGUCUUCGGAUUAAAGCCUUCGGGCGCUUUGGGAACGGCCUGCGUAAGAUUAGAUAGUUGGUGGGGUAAUGGCCUACCAAGUCGACGAUCUUUAACUGGUUUGAGAGGAUGAUCAGGCAGACUGGAACUGAGACACGGUCCAGACUCCUACGGGAGGCAGCAGUGAGGAAUCUUCCACAAUGGGCGAAAGCCUGAUGGAGCAACGCCGCGUGCAGGAUGAAGGCCUUCGGGUUGUAAACUGCUUUUAUAAGUGAGGAUUAUGACAGUAACUUAUGAAUAAGGAUCGGCUAACUACGUG
Molecule: ribosomal RNA, 502 nt
Filed under: uncultured bacterium
Lineage: Bacteria
Description: partial 16S ribosomal RNA
Rfam family: Bacterial small subunit ribosomal RNA
Source: RNAcentral